RNAcentral lists this unclassified non-coding RNA (1546 nucleotides) under uncultured fungus. RNAcentral's name for it is "sequence contains 18S rRNA gene, ITS1, 5.8S rRNA gene, ITS2, 28S rRNA gene". The stretch from base 573 to 1546 matches the Rfam family "Eukaryotic large subunit ribosomal RNA", at positions 1 to 961 of the family's 3401-position model. The record is from RNAcentral. Lineage: Eukaryota; Fungi.
GGAAGGAUCAUUAAUGAAACUUCAAGUCGGCUGUUCUGUGCUGGUGGCAACACAUGUGCACGUUCAGUCGCAAUCCACACACCUGUGCACUUUGACUCUGAGCACCGCCGGUAACACGGCAGAAGGUUUGAGAUGAAGGUCUUAACCCGGUACUCGAGUACUUUACACACUCUGUAUGUAAUAGAAUGUAACUGUACAAUGUACAACUAUAAACAACUUUCAACAACGGAUCUCUUGGCUCUCGCAUCGAUGAAGAACGCAGCGAAAUGCGAUAAGUAAUGUGGAUUGCAGAAUUCAGUGAAUCAUCGAAUCUUUGAACGCACCUUGCACCCUUUGGUAUUCCGAAGGGUACACCCGUUUGAGUGUCAUUGUAAUCUCACUCCGACACCUUUAUUGAUGUCGGAUGUGGACUUGGAUGCUGUCGUGUUCAACGACUCGUCUUAAAUGUCUGAGUGUACCCUGCUUUGCAGCGUAUCAGUGUGAUAAACAUCUUCACUGUUAAGUCUCUCGGGACACGCUUGUGUUGUAGGCUCUAUGCUUUCCAACCGUCCUCUGGACAAUCUCUGACAAUUUGACCUCAAAUCGGGUGGGACUACCCGCUGAACUUAAGCAUAUCAAUAAGCGGAGGAAAAGAAACUAACAAGGAUUCCCCUAGUAACGGCGAGUGAAGAGGGAAAAGCUCAAAUUUUGAAUCUGGUGUCUUUGACUCCCGAGUUGUAAUCUAGAGAAGUGUUUUCCGCGUUGGACCGUGCAAAAGUUCCCUGGAACGGGGCGUCAUAGAGGGUGAGAAUCCCGUAUAUGGCACGGACUACCAUUGCUAUGUGAUACACUCUCAACGAGUCGAGUUGUUUGGGAAUGCAGCUCAAAAUGGGUGGUAAAUUCCAUCUAAAGCUAAAUAUUGGCGAGAGACCGAUAGCGAACAAGUACCGUGAGGGAAAGAUGAAAAGCACUUUGGAAAGAGAGUGAAACAGUACGUGAAAUUGUUGAAAGGGAAGCGUUUGAAGUCAGUCAUGUCUGUCGGAAUUCAGCCUGGCUUCUGCCUGGUGUAUUUUCUGGCUGACAGGUCAGCAUCAAUUUCGACCGAGGGAAAAAGACUUGGGGAAUGUGGCUGUCUUCGGGCAGUGUUAUAGACCCUUGUUGUAUGUCUCGGUUGGGAUUGAGGAACGCAGCGCGCCUUUUGGCCGGGGUUCGCGCCCUCGGUACGCGCUUAGGAUGCUGGCAUAAUGGCUUUAAGCGACCCGUCUUGAAACACGGACCAAGGAGUCUAACAUGUGCGCGAGUGUUUGGGUGUUAAACCCGGGCGCGUAAUGAAAGUGAAAGGUCGGGAUCAUGAACUUGUGCACCGACGCCCGGAGCAGACCUUCUGUGACGCAUCCGCGGUAGAGCGUAUAUGUUGGGACCCGAAAGAUGGUGAACUAUGCCUGAAUAGGGUGAAGCCAGAGGAAACUCUGGUGGAGGCUCGUAGCGAUUCUGACGUGCAAAUCGAUCGUCAAAUUUGGGUAUAGGGGCGAAAGACUAAUCGAACCAUCUAGUAGCUGGUUCCUGC